RNAcentral lists this long non-coding RNA (1507 nucleotides) under Piliocolobus tephrosceles (Ugandan red Colobus). RNAcentral describes it as "lncRNA (ENSPTEG00000006125.1)". Lineage: Eukaryota; Metazoa; Chordata; Mammalia; Primates; Cercopithecidae. The record is from RNAcentral.
ACAUACAUACAUACAUACAUACAUACAUAUAUAUAUAUAUAUAUACUUAUGUAAAUGUAUACACCACUUUCGUGUCUUAAAAUGUUGUGCCUUUCUAUGUUAAAUUUGUUAAUAAUAUUAUACAAAUUGUAGCAACAGUAGUGAAAAACAAUACAUACAUUAAAAUAAAAUUUAUACAAUAUAAAUUGCAAAUUCAUAUUUAUAUCUAAUAUAUUUCAUCUUUUCUUUUCUUUUUUUCAGGCUGAACUACAGUGUUCACAAUGUAAACAAGUCUACUAUUGCUCAAAAGAUUGCCAAAUGAAAGAUUGGUUUAAUCAUCGCAAAGUUUGCUCAAGUGCAAUAUGAAUUCAAAAUAAGUUUUAACAAAAAAAACAUAAUAAAGUAUAAAUAUGAAAAAAAGAAGAAUAUAAAUAACUAUGAAUUUACAAAAUAUAGAACAGUUUUAUGUUAUCACCAGAAUCUCAAAUGGGGUAAAAAUAGAUAGUUACAUAUAUACUAAAUUCAUAAAUAUUGUAAUUUUAUUCUUCUAUUUUUAAUUAAAAAAGCAAAUGAAGAAGGACACGCACAUACAUAUAUAUCACCAUUGUAUGUGUAUAUAUGCGCGCAUGUUCAAACUUUACGUAAAGACUAUAUAAAAAAAAUAAAAAUAAACAAGCAAAUAAAGAAGAAAAUAAAGAAGCAAAUAAAACAACAUCAAACAACAUCAUUUUUUACAUUUACACAAUUAACAAUGUUUGUCCUACAAAUAGGACAUACCUGGCUUUUAUAUAACCAUUUAGUAAGACAAUUUACAUGAAAAAAAUGUCUUUUAUCACAUGGUAAAAUCAUAAUAUCAUCACUACUUAUAUAAUUUAACAUACAUAUUGAACACACAUCUUCAAUUUCAUUAGAUAAUUCAUUAUAGUUAUUGUUUGUUAUAUUUUUUUUUGGUGUCUUACUCAUACUUUCAUUAGUAUUAUUAUUUUUAUCAGUACUAUUAUUUUUAUUAUUAUUAUUGUUAUUAUUUGUGUUAUAAUAUUCAGUACUAUCGUUAUGUCCAUAGGCAAGGUCAUUCGUGUAAUUGUCCAUGUGUCCAUGGUUAUCUAUUGUAAUACCAUCAGAAGUCUGACCAUUUUUUUCGUCAUGCAUAUCUGAAUUAAGUGGUUUUAGCAUUUCUUGCAAGUUUUCAUCUGAACUACUUAAACUAUUCACAUUAAUUAAUACAUUAGAAUUUGAUUUUGUUAAUGUUUCUUUAUUACUUUUAUCUCGUAUAACAUUUUUUACUUUGUCUAUGAUCAUUUCAAAAGAAGGUUUUUUAAUAUAUGAUUUAUUUCUACUUUUUUUAUUAUUAUUAUUGUUAUUAAUAUUAUAAAUAUAAUCAAUAUCUUCAUAUUUCAUAACUUUUAAUUUACUUAUAAUAUUUUGUGGAGUUGGUAUUCGAUCAUUUUCAUCAACAGAAAAAUUAACCAUAAUACAAAUAAUAAUUGAUAAGAAUAAACCAAGAAAAAUAUAAAAUAUUAAAGGAAUA